UAGGGAAUAUUGGGCAAUGGGCGAAAGCCUGACCCAGCAACGCCGCGUGUGUGAUGAAGGCCUUCGGGUCGUAAAGCACUUUUCUGGGAGAUGAGAAAGGACAGUAUCCCAGGAAUAAGUCUCGGCUAACUACGUGCCAGCAGCCGCGGUAAAACGUAGGAGGCGAGCGUUAUCCGGAUUCACUGGGCGUAAAGCGCGUGCAGGUGGCGCGGUAAGUUGGGCUGAAAUCUCCCGGCUCAACUGGGAGAGGUCGUCCAAUACUACCGUGCUUGAGAGCAGAAGAGGAAGAUGGAAUUCCCGGUGUAGUGGUGAAAUGCGUAGAUAUCGGGAGGAACACCAGUGGCGAAGGCGAUCUUCUGGUCUGUUUCUGACGCUCAGACGCGACAGCUAGGGUAGUAAACGGGAUUAGAGACCCCGGUAAUCCUAGCCGUAAACGAUGUGAACUUGGCGUUGGUGGGUUAAACUCCA
This 468-nucleotide ribosomal RNA is filed under the name uncultured Chloroflexota bacterium. RNAcentral's name for it is "bacterial SSU rRNA". It matches the Rfam family "Bacterial small subunit ribosomal RNA", at positions 355 to 839 of the family's 1533-position model. The record is from RNAcentral. Lineage: Bacteria; Bacillati; Chloroflexota.